ACAAAUAUAUGUAUCUCUGUUUUAAAUCCUAGGUUGCAAAAUAAAGAGCUAUGGCAUCUGCAUGUACUGCUAGUUCAUGACAAAUGAACAUUUAUUGUCCAUCUCUUCAAAUUGAAAAGACUGCAGAGCCUGAAUUACCUGCAACGUUAUGCUUCCUGUGAAACAUCAGCCAGCCUACAAAUAGAAGCUCCCUUUUCCAGCUUUAAGCAAGAGGAACCACAAUGGGAUACAGAUCUUGGUAUCAUGGACUGGUCACUUUUUACAACCAACACUACUUGUAAAAUAAGAUUUACAAAUUAAUUCCUAUAAGCUAU
Molecule: long non-coding RNA, 314 nt
Organism: Strongylocentrotus purpuratus (purple sea urchin)
Lineage: Eukaryota; Metazoa; Echinodermata; Echinoidea; Camarodonta; Strongylocentrotidae
Exons: 2
Source: RefSeq, a predicted model, not a curated record